GUUUUUUUUUUUUUUUUUUUUUUUUUUUUUUUUUUUUUUUUUUCCUU
Molecule: non-coding RNA, 47 nt
Filed under: Prorocentrum micans
Lineage: Eukaryota; Dinophyceae; Prorocentrales; Prorocentraceae
Source: RNAcentral